RNAcentral lists this ribosomal RNA (1250 nucleotides) under Candidatus Phytoplasma trifolii. Its description in RNAcentral is "bacterial SSU rRNA". It matches the Rfam family "Bacterial small subunit ribosomal RNA", at positions 153 to 1399 of the family's 1533-position model. The record is from RNAcentral. Lineage: Bacteria; Bacillati; Mycoplasmatota; Mollicutes; Acholeplasmatales; Acholeplasmataceae.
GAAACGACUGCUAAGACUGGAUAGGAAACAAAAAGGCAUCUUUUUGUUUUUAAAAGACCUUCUUAUGAAGGUAUGCUUAAAGAGGGGCUUGCGCCACAUUAGUUAGUUGGUAGGGUAAAAGCCUACCAAGACGAUGAUGUGUAGCUGGACUGAGAGGUUGAACAGCCACAUUGGGACUGAGACACGGCCCAAACUCCUACGGGAGGCAGCAGUAGGGAAUUUUCGGCAAUGGAGGAAACUCUGACCGAGCAACGCCGCGUGAACGAUGAAGUAUUUCGGUAUGUAAAGUUCUUUUAUUGAAGAAGAAAAAGUAGUGGAAAAACUAUAUUGACGUUAUUCAAUGAAUAAGCCCCGGCUAACUAUGUGCCAGCAGCCGCGGUAAGACAUAGGGGGCGAGCGUUAUCCGGAAUUAUUGGGCGUAAAGGGUGCGUAGGCUGUUAGAUAAGUCUAUAAUUUAAUUUCAGUGCUUAACGCUGUCUUGUUAUAGAAACUGUCUUGACUAGAGUGAGAUAGAGGCAAGCGGAAUUCCAUGUGUAGCGGUAAAAUGUGUAAAUAUAUGGAGGAACACCAGAAGCGUAGGCGGCUUGCUGGGUCUUUACUGACGCUGAGGCACGAAAGCGUGGGUAGCAAACAGGAUUAGAUACCCUGGUAGUCCACGCCGUAAACGAUGAGUACUAAGUGUCGGGGUAAAACUCGGUGCUGAAGUUAACACAUUAAGUACUCCGCCUGAGUAGUACGUACGCAAGUAUGAAACUUAAAGGAAUUGACGGGACUCCGCACAAGCGGUGGAUCAUGUUGUUUAAUUCGAAGAUACACGAAAAAUCUUACCAGGUCUUGACAUACUCUGCAAAGCUAUAGAAAUAUAGUGGAGGUUAUCAGGGAUACAGGUGGUGCAUGGUUGUCGUCAGUUCGUGUCGUGAGAUGUUAGGUUAAGUCCUAAAACGAGCGCAACCCUUGUCGUUAAUUGCCAGCACGUAAUGGUGGGGACUUUAGCGAGACUGCCAAUUAAACAUUGGAGGAAGGUGAGGAUUACGUCAAAUCAUCAUGCCCCUUAUGAUCUGGGCUACAAACGUGAUACAAUGGCUGUGACAAAGAGUAGCUGAAACGCGAGUUUUUAGCCAAUCUCAAAAAAGCAGUCUCAGUUCGGAUUGAAGCCUGUAACUCGACUUCAUGAAGUUGGAAUCGCUAGUAAUCGCGAAUCAGCAUGUCGCGGUGAAUACGUUCGCGGGGUUUGUACACACCGCCCGUCA